Molecule: long non-coding RNA, 201 nt
Filed under: Salvia miltiorrhiza (redroot sage)
Lineage: Eukaryota; Viridiplantae; Streptophyta; Magnoliopsida; Lamiales; Lamiaceae
Description: long non-coding RNA (SMIL_LNC014311)
Source: RNAcentral
GUCUCGAAUAGGUCAAAGGAGGACCUAUUUAUAAGCUUCAGAUUUCCUUCGGAUCACCAUGGAAGUUUCCAUGCAAAGUAGAAUUCUAAAGGUAAUAGAAUCGUGUGAAAUAAGGCAACUCUCCAGCUGGAUGCGCGCUCCGGAAAAACUCUCCCACUCGCGCCGAAUUCGCAGCUCUCGCCAGAGAAAUGGAUGUCACCC